GAUGAACGCUGGCGGCGUGCCUAAUACAUGCAAGUCGAGCGAACGGACGAGAAGCUUGCUUCUCUGAUGUUAGCGGCGGACGGGUGAGUAACACGUGGAUAACCUACCUAUAAGACUGGGAUAACUUCGGGAAACCGGAGCUAAUACCGGAUAAUAUUUUGAACCGCAUGGUUCAAAAGUGAAAGACGGUCUUGCUGUCACUUAUAGCUGGAUCCGCGCUGCAGUAGCUAGUUGGUAAGGUAACGGCCUACCAAGGCAACGAUGCAUAGCCGACCUGAGAGGGGGAUAGGCCACACUGGAACUGAGACACGGUCCAGACUCCUACGGGAGGCAGCAGUAGGGAAUCUUCCGCAAUGGGCGAAAGCCUGACGGAGCAACGCCGCGUGAGUGAUGAAGGUCUUCGGAUCGUAAAACUCUGUUAUUAGGGAAGAACAUAUGUGUAAGUAACUGUGCACAUCUUGACGGUACCUAAUCAGAAAGCCACGGCUAACUACGUG
Molecule: ribosomal RNA, 497 nt
Filed under: uncultured bacterium
Lineage: Bacteria
Description: partial 16S ribosomal RNA
Rfam family: Bacterial small subunit ribosomal RNA
Source: RNAcentral